Molecule: long non-coding RNA, 2028 nt
Filed under: Nicotiana benthamiana
Lineage: Eukaryota; Viridiplantae; Streptophyta; Magnoliopsida; Solanales; Solanaceae
Description: long non-coding RNA (NBEN_LNC012142)
Source: RNAcentral
UGUUAGUGUGUCAUUUCUUGGAUUAUAUUGUAAUAUCUAGUUACGUAUGAUUCUGUAUUAGGAAUAUAUAGUGAAUGGGGAUAUUGUUUUUGCCAUCUUUCUAAGUGUAAAGGUUUGACAACUGGAUUAAGUAGUGAUAUAGUGAAGUAGGAUUCCAACUUUUGUCUGCUGAGUGUGGCGUUGUGCCUUUGAUACUGUGGUUGGAUGCUGGAUUAGCAACUGAGUUAUAUCAUUCUUGUUCUUUGCACGUCUGCAGGUUGCACUUCUAUUUUAUUUCUUCGCUGGUUGCACUAGCUUAACGUAGUUGAGCAUUGUCCUUACUCCUCUCUGUAUUUUUCUUCUAUUGGAACAAAAAAAAUUUUCAAAUGCGUUGGUUACUUAAGGCGCGCUGUUAAUAAAUAAUUCGUGACUACGAGUACGGGUUCUGUAGCGUAGUUGUGAUACCUAAUUAGUUUUAAAGAUGAAUAUCCGUAGUUCUUUUAAUUGGAUGCAUUUCAUUUGAAAGAAAUUGAGGUGUGCCAUGCCAAAUAAAACUCCUAAGGCCUUGGCCCAUAUUUAAUUAAUUAACUCUAUAGAAAUUGAGGCCUGCCAUUAGCGAAUUAUCUAUAGCCCUCGUAAAGUUGGAAGUGCAUAGUUUCUUUUGGUGCGCGAUUUAAAAAAAAAAUUAAUUACCUUCCUAAACUCGGGUGUUCAUUUCAUGUGACGCACAUCCAGAUCUCCCAACGUUAAAUAAAAUGUGUCUUGGAUUGCGGGUACAUUUCAUGUGGCGCGCUCUAAAGAUGCGUUUUAGAUGAAGUUGAAAUCUUCUUUAAAAUUAAUUAUAAGCGGUAAAUAACUUAAAAUUGCACUAUAGGUUUGAACAUGUACUAAAAUCAGAGAAAAGGCCAAUUAUAAUAGUUUAAGCGAUCGCGCUAGAACCAUAGAAUCUGGGGGUGCCUAACACCUUCCCUCGAGUUAACAGAAUUCCUUAUUCAGAAUUUCUGGUUCGUAGACUUCACAUGGAAAGUCGAAAUUUUCCUCGAUUUGGGACACAAAAAUCCAAGCCUAUCCAAGUGGCGACUCUGAAAUAAAUAAAUAAUCCUAUUUCGAAUAAUGUCACUUUAAAUGGAAAAACUCCCUUAUACACUAUCAUUCAGGGUGGUGUGUAAAAAAGGAGGUGUGACAUAUGUAUUUGAUAGAUCUUUUGAUUUAAGGCUUAGAUGUUUAUAGGUAGUUGAUAUUUGGAUUGAUUUGUGUUUUCCAUAUUGAAUUGGUGGUUGCAAAUACUAAUUUGUGCAACUGUGACUUGAAUUCUUCUUUAGAAAGAGAACUUGAGUCUAGAAAAAUCAGUCCAACAAGAAAUUGGGGUGUAAUCAAGAGAUUGAUAGCCCCAAUUGAAGGGUUAAGCCUAGAGAUAGUAAUACCCGACUUGAGCCUAUAUUGCUUGCACAAGUUUGACAACCAAUUGGUCUUGAGAAAGUCAAUUAGGGCAAAGUCACUCAAGCUACCUAGAGGUAUAGAGUGAGUAAUUCUGUGCAUUGGCUAUAUCGCAAUCCCAACAUAACUUCAUUGCCUUAGGCUUUAGAUCCCGUCAAGUAUUCACCUAGGAAAAAGUCACUUCCCUAGUGCCUCUUUAACUAUUUAAAAAAUCUUGCAAGUAAUCAUUCUUAGUUUAAUAUAGCAUAUCAUUAGCACAAGUAUUAGAAGUAAUAACCAACCAAAAGAUGAUUGGAAGAGUAAUUAAGAGCACUAUGCAUCACUAGUUUAGAUAGGAAUCCAAUUCCCAUUUCUAGCUCCACGUGGAUUUGAUCCCGUCCAAAAUUUAGCAUGCGAUGCCUUUGCCUCUCGAAUCGGCCUCCGGAUGCCCAAAUCUAACCAAAAUCAGUGCAAAAUCAUCAAAAUAUGCUAAGGGAACAAAUCUCACUCGAAAGAAAUCAAAUUACAACACAAAUCUCGAAAAUGGCCAAACCCGACCCCCGGGCCCACGUCUCGGAAUCUAAAAAAAUUACAUCAACAGACUCUUUAUCACUCCCCGAGUUUACUCAUAUC